Molecule: RNA transcript, 4186 nt
Organism: Carya illinoinensis
Lineage: Eukaryota; Viridiplantae; Streptophyta; Magnoliopsida; Fagales; Juglandaceae
Gene name: probable ubiquitin-conjugating enzyme E2 23
Exons: 10
Source: RefSeq, a predicted model, not a curated record
CUAACUCGUUACUUCUUUCAUGAAAUGAAUCUAUAAUAACCCAAACCCAAGGCCAGUCUUCGUCAUUUCGAACCCCACGGCGGCCCACCUGCCCCUAUAUAAACACAGACAAUUCGACAUUCUCGUAAUUACCAUUAUACCCCCACAUCCUCUUCCAGACUCCAGCUCCCCCUCUCGCCCCUCACCCCACUCUUCUCUCCGCAUUAUAUUCUCCAACAGGAGCUCCUUGUUCGAAAACGACAACACUUCUUCUUCUUCUUCUUCUUCAUCUUCUUCUUCAAUCUCUCAGGGUUCAAAGUCUUCGAUUCGAAUAGAUGGAAAAUGAAGAAUAUGACUCUGUCGGUAUGGUUAAUGAGCCUACCACAAGUCGUCAUGAUAAUAAUUCUCCGAAACAAGAUUAUUCUACCACAAGCGGGCUUGUUUGUGAUCCAAGUGUAGAUAGUGAAAGUAAGGAAGUUAGCAAACCUAUGGACACUGCCAGUAACAACCACAAUAUUCCAUAUAUCUAUAGGCAAGAUGUUGUGAAGAGAAAUAACAGUGGCAUGACGGGGAUAGUGACUGAAGUUGCAGGUGAAACAGAUUCAGAUAGCAGCAUUACUGAUGAUGAGGAUGAUGACGGUGAUGAUGAUGAUGAUGAUGAAGACAAUGGUGGCGAGAAUGAGGAAGAUGGUGAUGGAAAUAGCAAUGCCAAUGUCAAUAGUGAUUGGAAAAGAGGUGGUGGUAAGAGUGAUCCUCUGCCGGCAGACCAGGUGCGAGUACUUUGGAUGGAUGAAAAUGAGUCAACCGUAAAUGUUAAUGAUGUAGCAGUUGUUGACCGUGGAUUCUUACAUGGGGAUUUUGUUGCCACUGCUUCGGACCCAACGGGGCAAGUGGGUGUUGUCGUGGAUGUGAAUAUCUCUGUUGACUUAUUAGCUUCAGAUGGGUCUGUUAUGAAAGAUGUCUCAUCCAAAGAUUUGAAACGUGUAAGGGAUUUCACUGUGGGUGACUAUGUUGUCCUUGGUCCAUGGCUUGGUAGAAUUGAUGAUGUUUUAGAUAAUGUGACUGUUUUGUUUGAUGAUGGUUCUGUGUGUAAGGUUCCAAAAGCUGAGCCAGUACGUCUAAAACCAAUUUCCAAGAAUAUCCUUGAAGACGGGCAUUUUCCUUAUUAUCCAGGCCAGCGUGUAAGGGCUAGUUCUUCAUCAGUUUUCAAGAAUUCUAGGUGGCUAUCUGGCUUAUGGAAAGCUAAUCGGUUGGAAGGCACUGUUACAAAGGUUACAGUAGGAUCGGUUUUUAUUUAUUGGAUAGCAUCUGCCGGAUAUGGACCAGAUUCUUCAACUGCCCCUGCUGAAGAACAGAGUCCAAAAAACUUAAAACUGUUGUCUUGUUUUUCCCAUGCCAAUUGGCAACUGGGUGACUGGUGUCUUCUCCCCUCAUUGGCACUUCCGUCCUCCAUUCCCUUAGACAGUGAUUUAUCAAAAUUAGAACUGCAUCAUUCCAUCAAUAGUGAAUUAGAUUCUACUCAACUGGGAAGUGGAUGUGAUUCAGAAGAGGUUUCAUUGGAGGAAUCAAAUGAAAAUAGUGAAUCCAUGGAUCUUGAUCCUGUUCCUGCAGUGGAUGGAAAUGAUAGAAACUUUCCCAUCAAUGAGACCGAGUCUAGCUCUUGCGGUAGUUCAUUGUCAGUUUCUAAGGAGCCUGUUCACGAGUCUUGGCCUCUUCAUCGCAAGAAGAUCCGUAAAGUUGUUGUUAGGAGGGACAGGAAAACUCGAAAGAAAGAGGAAAGUUUUGAAAGAGCCCUUUUGAUUGUCAAUACAGUGACAAAGGUUGAUGUGGCAUGGCAAGAUGGAAAGAUAGGACACUGGUUGGACUCAACAAGUUUAAUUCCGAUUGAUAGUCCUGGUGAUCACGAGUUUGUUGCUGAGCAGUAUGUGGUUGAGAAGGCCACUGAUGAUGGUGACGAUGUUGGUGAAAUCAGGCGUGUCGGAAUUGUGAAAAGUGUGAAUGCCAAGGAACGAACAGCUUGUGUGAGGUGGUUAAAGCCAGUUACCCGUGCAGAAGAUCCUCGAGAGUUUGACAAGGAGGAAAUUGUAAGCGUCUAUGAGUUGGAGGGACAUCCGGAUUAUGAUUACUGCUAUGGGGAUGUAGUUGUUCGAUUAUCUCCAGUUUCUGUUUCUGCAGAAACAGCUACUGGCAUAGACUCCAUUGAUCAAGCAAAGCAGCAAAAUGGGCCGGAUGAGGUUAAACAGGAUAUGAAAAGGCACUCAGGAUGUAAGAAAGUAGAUGAUGUAUCUGAAUAUAAAGCUUGUAGUGGCUUCUCAGAUCUCUCUUGGGUUGGGAAUAUAACUGGUCUUAGCAAUGGUGAUAUUGAAGUUACAUGGGCUGAUGGGAUGGUUUCAACGGUUGGACCUCAAGCAAUAUAUGUUGUUGGUCGGGAUGAUGAUGAUGAGUCAAUGGCUGCUGGGAGUGAAAUUAGUGAUGAUGCUGCUAGUUGGGAAACUGUUAAUGACAAUGAAAUGGAUGCCCUUGAAAAUUCUCAAGAGGAAGAUGGGCUGCAUGAUGCCCACUACGCAAAUUCUGAACCAGAAGAAAGUGGAGAGAAUUCUGGCAAAAAUACAGCACUGUCAGUUCCCUUAGCUGCACUUCGGUUUGUUACAAGACUGGCCACUGGGAUAUUCUCACGGGGACAAAAGAAUAUAGAUCCAAGCUGUUUGGAUUCCAAAGUUGAAAGUGAGGUUGAAUCCCAGCAGAUCAUUCAGAUUUCUGAGGGAAAAGAUUCUAGUAAUGAGUCUAGUUCUCAGAAAUCAAACAUCAUUGAUAGUUUUGGUACAGAUGUUAAAGAAGAGUUUGCCUCUGAGGCCCAAAAACUGUUAGAAGCGGCAGAGGCUUCAGGUAACUUGAGGACUGAAGAAUCAAAUGCACCAGCAUGUUCUGGGGAUGACACUUGCGGUUUCAAACACUUCGAUAUAGCUAAAGAUCCCAUGGACCAUUAUUUUCUUGGUGCAUAUGGACAGAAUAACAAUGGAAGGAAGUGGUAUAAGAAGGUUCAACAAGAUUGGAGCAUCCUUCAGAAUAAUCUGCCUGAUACAAUCUACGUACGAGUUUAUGAAGAUCGAAUGGAUCUCUUACGGGCUGUUAUAGUUGGGGCAUAUGGGACACCUUACCAAGAUGGCCUCUUUUUCUUUGAUUUUCACCUUCCACCAGAGUACCCUGAUGUUCCUCCAUCAUCAUACUAUCAUUCGGGUGGCUGGCGGAUAAAUCCAAAUUUAUAUGAAGAAGGCAAGGUGUGCCUUAGCCUUUUAAAUACUUGGACUGGAAAAGGAAAUGAAGUCUGGGAUCCAAAGUCUUCUAGCAUCCUACAAGUGCUUGUUUCGCUCCAGGGAUUGGUGCUAAAUUCUAAGCCGUAUUUUAAUGAGGCUGGCUAUGAUAGGCAGAUUGGGACGCCUGAGGGAGAGAAGAAUUCGUUGUCAUACAAUGAGAAUACUUUCUUGCUAAAUUGCAAGACAAUUAUGUAUCUUAUGCGGAAGCCCCCAAAGGACUUCGAAGAGCUUGUUAAAGACCAUUUCAGGAAGCGUGGUUAUUACAUCCUUAAGGCCUGUGAUGUAUAUAUGAAAGGUAGUUUAAUAGGCUCUCUAACUGAGGACGCCUCUGUGAGUGAUAAGAGCAAUGCCAAUUCAACUUCAGUUGGUUUCAAGUUGAUGCUAGCAAAGAUAUUGCCGAAGCUUUUCGUGGCACUUAGUGAAGUUGGAGCUGAUUGUCUUGAAUUUAAGCAUCUGCAACAGUCUUAGCGUAUUUGGAGACAUCUUGGUCAAGCCACCAACUUCAACUAGAUCCAAACUCCAAUUCACCCACCCUUCUCUUUCUAUCAAGGUUCUGAUUUGCAGUUUGGAUUUUUGUUAAUUCAUAGUUUGGUGAUCUAGGACUCAAAUGGACUGGAGCUUCAGUAGUGAUCGGUAUUGGUGCUGUGGAUGUAUCAAUGGAAUGAACUAGGAUAUUUUAUUUAUAGUUUCAAAUCGGUGUGAUUAAAUUCCUAGCUGUGGGAACUAAAGGGGCUUCUAGUUUUCCUCUAAUUCUUCCAAUUUUGAAUUUUUGGGCGCAAUGGCUACUCUUAGUUCUUGUAAAUAGCCCAAUUUCCUGGCUUUUGUAUGAAAUUUGUAAAUAACAAAUUAUUUAUAGUUUGUGCUCAUCAAUAUGAUGGGUGGGAUUUGCUCGA